UGGGCUGGGGCUCAGUGGUAGAGCGCUUACCUACCAUGUGUGAGGUCCUGGGCUCCAUUCUCAGCACUUCAU
Molecule: transfer RNA, 72 nt
Filed under: Ictidomys tridecemlineatus (thirteen-lined ground squirrel)
Lineage: Eukaryota; Metazoa; Chordata; Mammalia; Rodentia; Sciuridae
Description: Spermophilus tridecemlineatus (thirteen-lined ground squirrel) tRNA
Rfam family: tRNA
About the family: Transfer RNA (tRNA) molecules are approximately 80 nucleotides in length. Their secondary structure includes four short double-helical elements and three loops (D, anti-codon, and T loops).
Source: Rfam by way of RNAcentral